This 207-nucleotide ribosomal RNA is filed under the name uncultured bacterium. Its description in RNAcentral is "partial 16S ribosomal RNA". It matches the Rfam family "Bacterial small subunit ribosomal RNA", at positions 568 to 774 of the family's 1533-position model. The record is from RNAcentral.
CGCGUAGGCGGUUUUGUAAGUCAGACGUGAAAUCCCCAGGCUUAACUUGGGAACUGCGUCUGAUACUGCAAAACUUGAGUGCGGGAGAGGGAUGUGGAAUUCCAGGUGUAGCGGUGAAAUGCGUAGAUAUCUGGAGGAACACCGGUGGCGAAGGCGGCAUCCUGGACCGACACUGACGCUGAGGCGCGAAAGCUAGGGGAGCAAACG